RNAcentral lists this ribosomal RNA (162 nucleotides) under uncultured bacterium. RNAcentral's name for it is "partial 16S ribosomal RNA". It matches the Rfam family "Bacterial small subunit ribosomal RNA", at positions 393 to 539 of the family's 1533-position model. The record is from RNAcentral.
AAUGCCGCGUGGGUGAAGAAGGCCUUCGGGUUGUAAAGCCCUUUUGUACGGGAAGAAAUCCUGUCGGUUAAUACCCGGCGGGGAUGACGGUACCGUAAGAAUAAGCACCGGCUAACUUCGUGCCAGCAACUUCGGUGACUGAGCGGGCUGGCAAGGCGCAUA